Molecule: non-coding RNA, 136 nt
Organism: Triticum aestivum (bread wheat)
Lineage: Eukaryota; Viridiplantae; Streptophyta; Magnoliopsida; Poales; Poaceae
Source: Rfam
AUUCUACUCCCUCCGUUGCACAAUACAUGCCUUCUAUUUGUAAAAAUAUAUAUGUAUCUAGACAUGUCUUAGUAUAUAGGUACAUCCAUUUUUGGACAAAUGGAAGUCAAGUAUUUUGGAACGGAGGGAGUACACA